AGGGAGGGGGAAGAGGAGGACAGCCAGGAUAUGACAAUUACUGCAUCGACAUCUCCAUGGAGACGAGCUGGAGAUGUACCCACCCCCAGUAAGGUUACAGUCAUGUCUAAGGAGAGAAGACUCUCAAUUUGUCCUGACCUUAGCUGCAGCCCAGAGACUACCUUCUCACGCUGGAUGUCGGAAAGUGCAUUUUUUUUUUUUGCCUGCACAUUAUACGAAAGGCAAGUGAUCU
Molecule: long non-coding RNA, 232 nt
Filed under: Neogobius melanostomus (round goby)
Lineage: Eukaryota; Metazoa; Chordata; Actinopteri; Gobiiformes; Gobiidae
Description: lncRNA (ENSNMLG00000000459.1)
Source: RNAcentral